AUACGGAGGAUCCGGGCGUUAUCCGGAUUUAUUGGGUUUAAAGGGUGCGCAGGCGGGAGAUUAAGUCGGCGGUGAAAUUUUGCAGCUCAACUGUAAAAGUGCCUUCGAUACUGGUUUCCUUGAGUGUGGAUGAAGUAGGCGGAAUUUGUGGGGUAGCGGUGAAAUGCUUAGAUAUCACGAGGAACUCCGAUUGCGCAGGCAGCUUACUAAACCACUACUGACGCUCAGGCACGAAGGCGUGGGGAUCAAACAGGAUUAGAUACCCUGGUAGUCCACGCAGUAAACGAUGAUUACUGGCUGUUUGCGAUACAAUGUAAGCGGCUGAGCGAAAGCGUUAAGUAAUCCACCUGGGGAGUACGUUCGCAAGAAUGAAACUCAAAUGAAUUGACGGGG
Molecule: ribosomal RNA, 393 nt
Filed under: uncultured bacterium
Lineage: Bacteria
Description: partial 16S ribosomal RNA
Rfam family: Bacterial small subunit ribosomal RNA
Source: RNAcentral